RNAcentral lists this unclassified non-coding RNA (195 nucleotides) under plant metagenome. RNAcentral describes it as "partial contains small subunit ribosomal RNA, internal transcribed spacer 1, and 5.8S ribosomal RNA". The record is from RNAcentral.
UCUCCGUUGGUGAACCUGCGGAGGGAUCAUUACCGAGUUUACAACUCCCAAACCCCUGUGAACAUACCAUUUGUUGCCUCGGCGGUGCCUGCUUCGGCAGCCCGCCAGAGGACCCAAACCCUUGAUUUUAUACAGUAUCUUCUGAGUAAAUGAUUAAAUAAAUCAAAACUUUCAACAACGGAUCUCUUGGUUCUG